Molecule: ribosomal RNA, 648 nt
Filed under: uncultured fungus
Lineage: Eukaryota; Fungi
Description: eukaryotic LSU rRNA
Rfam family: 5.8S ribosomal RNA (bases 248-401)
Source: RNAcentral
AAGUCGUAACAAGGUUUCCGUAGGUGAACCUGCGGAAGGAUCAUUAUUGUAAAACAGAGGGGGUGUCCUCCACCCUGCUCCGGCUUUGCGGCCGUGAGCGGGUGGUCGCGCCCCUUUCCACAACCAAACCCCUGUGCACAUCUCUGGGGACUUCUGGUGGGUUCGCGCCUGCCGAGUCCCUGGCUUUACACAAACUCUUCUAUGUCUAUAGAAUGUUCAAGGACCUCGCGUCCUGUUAACAAAUAACAACUUUCAACAACGGAUCUCUUGGCUCUCGCAUCGAUGAAGAACGCAGCGAAAUGCGAUAAGUAAUGUGAAUUGCAGAAUUCAGUGAAUCAUCGAAUCUUUGAACGCACCUUGCGCCCUUUGGUAUUCCGAUGGGCAUGCCUGUUUGAGUGUCUUGAAAUCAUCAAACCCCCGGUUUUGCGAUCGCGGGGCUUGGACUUGGGGGCUCUGCUGCCGCGAGGCGGCUCCCCUUAAAUGCAUCGGUCGGGCCUACUGGGGCUCCGUCACCUGGGCGUUGUAUUACCCUCGCUCUGCCGACGUGCCUCAGCUUUUGCGCGCCCGACCCCGACCUGCCUCUGGAGCGGCGGUCAACACUCUUUGAGAUCUGACCUCAAAUCAGGUAGGACUACCCGCUGAACUUAA